GACAGAGGGGGCAAGCGUUGCUCGGAAUUACUGGGCGUAAAGGGCGCGUAGGCGGGAUGGCAAGUCGGUCGUGAAAUCCUUCGGCUCAACCGAAGAACGUCGAUCGAUACUGCUGUUCUUGAGGAUUGCAGAGGAGACUGGAAUUCCCGGUGUAGCGGUGAAAUGUGUAGAGAUCGGGAGGAACACCGGUGGCGAAGGCGGGUCUCUGGGCAAUUCCUGACGCUGAGGCGCGAAAGCUAGGGGAGCAAACAGG
This 253-nucleotide ribosomal RNA is filed under the name uncultured bacterium. RNAcentral's name for it is "partial 16S ribosomal RNA". It matches the Rfam family "Bacterial small subunit ribosomal RNA", at positions 524 to 776 of the family's 1533-position model. The record is from RNAcentral.